Molecule: ribosomal RNA, 440 nt
Filed under: uncultured bacterium
Lineage: Bacteria
Description: partial 16S ribosomal RNA
Rfam family: Bacterial small subunit ribosomal RNA
Source: RNAcentral
CCUACGGGGGACAGCAGUAGGGAAUAUUGCUCAAUGGGGGAAACCCUGAAGCAGCAACGCCGCGUGGAGGAUGAAGGUUUUCGGAUUGUAAACUCCUUUUGUUAGAGAAGAUAAUGACGGUAUCUAACGAAUAAGCAACGGCUAACUCCGUGCCAGCAGCCGCAGUAAUACGGAGGGUGCAAGCGUUACUCGGAAUCACUGGGCGUAAAGAGCGCGUAGGCGGGAUAGCAAGUCAGAUGUGAAAUCCUAUGGCUUAACCAUAGAACUGCAUUUGAAACUGUUAUUCUAGAGUAUGGGAGAGGUAGGUGGAAUUCUUGGUGUAGGGGUAAAAUGCGUAGAGAUCAAGAGGAAUACUCAUUGCGAAGGCGACCUGCUAGAACAUAACUGACGCUGAUGCGCGAAAGCGUGGGGAGCAAACAGGAUUAGAUACCCUGGUAGUC